GCGCGAAAAACUUUACAAUGCGGGAAACCGUGAUAAGGGGACACCGAGUGCCAGCAUCAUAUGCUGGCUGUCCAGAUGUGUAAAAUACAUCUGUUAGCAAGGGCCGGGCAAGACCGGUGCCAGCCGCCGCGGUAACACCGGCGGCCCGAGUGGUGAUCGUGAUUAUUGGGUCUAAAGGGUCCGUAGCCGGUUUGGUCAGUCCUCCGGGAAAUCUGAUAGCUCAACUAUUAGGCUUUCGGGGGAUACUGCCAGACUGGAACCGGGAGAGGUAAGAGGUACUACAGGGGUAGGAGUGAAAUCUUGUAAUCCCUGUGGGACCACCUGUGGCGAAGGCGUCUUACCAGAACGGGUUCGACGGUGAGGGACGAAAGCUGGGGGCACGAACCGGAUUAGAUACCCGGGUAGUCCCAGCCGUAAACGAUGCUCGCUAGGUGUCAGACAUGGCGCGACCGUGUCUGGUGCCGCAGGGAAGCCGUGAAGCGAGCCACCUGGGAAGUACGGCCGCAAGGCUGAAACUUAAAGGAAUUGGCGGGGGAGCACAACAACGGGUGGAGCCUGCGGUUU
This 564-nucleotide ribosomal RNA is filed under the name uncultured Methanosarcina sp. RNAcentral describes it as "bacterial SSU rRNA". It matches the Rfam family "Archaeal small subunit ribosomal RNA", at positions 339 to 903 of the family's 1478-position model. Lineage: Archaea; Methanobacteriati; Methanobacteriota; Methanomicrobia; Methanosarcinales; Methanosarcinaceae. The record is from RNAcentral.